Small nuclear RNA from Impatiens glandulifera, 161 nucleotides. RefSeq annotates it as U1 spliceosomal RNA. NCBI's taxonomy places the organism in Eukaryota, Viridiplantae, Streptophyta, Magnoliopsida, Ericales, Balsaminaceae. The record is from RefSeq and is a predicted model, not a curated record. The transcript has a single exon.
UUACAUACCUGGAUGGGGUCAUUGGACGAUCAAGAAGGUCCAUGUCCUAGGCUUGUGACUUUAAUUGCACAUAGAAAGGGUGCUUGUUUGAGAUCAACCCAUGUUGGUUGAAUGUACGUCAUAAUUUGUUCCCGAGGGGCCUGCGUUCUCACGGCCUCUAU